CUCGGCCUCCCAAAGUGCUGGGAUUACAGGCGUGUGCCACCACGCCCGGCCGCAUUUGGAGCAUUAAUAACAUCAAAUAACAGGCAUUGUGUUUGAUUCACAAUUGAACCUGGAACAGCAAACAUGAGCCAUCCUUUGGCAAGUCUGCCCGCACAAGCCUUGCCAGCAGCUCUCCUUUUUAGCCCACAUACCUGUGCCUGGGCUCUGUGGUUUGUACCCUCCUUGGUCUCAGUGUGUUCCAGGGGAGAAGUGGUGGGUGGAGGCUCUUUACUGAUUCUUGCCCUCCUCGUCAGUACUCUCAAAAGUGCUAGUUUCCUGUUUGUCUUGCAUUCUGUCCGCUACCAGGGCUUGGUCUGCAAAUGGAGAGCUCCCUCAAGAGUGCCCUUUCCAGAGAGAAGCCCUCACCUCUGCCCUGUGUGAUGUCUCAGAAGCCACUACCAGAUAGCCACGGUUUCUGCAGUCAAAGACGUGCUGGAGGGGACAGAGAAUCCAAACACCAGGGGAGCAAGAGUAGAGUUGGUUUCAUUCACCCCGGGCUCUCCAAGCAUAGCAAACGCUCUGGAAGCACGUGAUGAGUGGCUGGGUGACGAAGAGCUACGACCCGAGACAUGGUACCCACAUGGGUACCCACCCUAUGGGUAGACACGAGCCUGGUGUCAGGAGGAACUGGGUUUGAAUCCUUCAACAACUGUGUGGCCUUUCCUCUCUCUGAGCGUCGAUGUCCUUAUUCGUAGAGUGGAUGAUCAUACCUUCCUUGCAGAGCCAUUGCACAGAUAGUGACAUAGGCACACACAAUACAGUCCUGGCUCACGCUCAGGAGACAGUGGCUGUCAAGUCAGGAGCCCGUCCUGCAGCAGCCUAGCCAUCUGGAAGGAUCACUCCUCGACAUGCCGUCAAUGCCUGGCACUUGGCUGUGCAUGGAGGCAAACACAGGGCCCUUCACUCAGGCCAAGCUCAGGAGAGCCCAGGCUGCACCGAGUCCACACUCUCGGCUCAUUUCCCUCAGUCCACCAAGAGGAUGACACCAAGGCCCCCUCCUGUACCCCUGCCUCUGCCCCAGCAAGUCCUACUGAGAUCCUGCCUGUUAUGAAAUGGGGCUGUCCCAUUGGGUGCAGGGCAGAUGGCACCAUGCCUCUAGGAGCCUCAGCAUGUGUUUCCAAGGAGACAGCCGUGUGUGUGUGUGUACACACCAACUUGUACCAUCCAGUUCUUCAAAGGAAGGUGGAAAGAAGGGAAUGAGGGUCAGGUUGCAAAUGGGAUGUAGGUGGAAGACGCACGACGCCAGGCCAUGCUGCUGUUUGCCUUUCACAGAAAAAACCAGCACAGCAUCUCACGGUUUGCAGACACUUUCACAUGGGAUAACUCACUUAAUCUUGGCAACAAGCUCAUGGCACAGAUAUUCUUUUCCGCUUUUUAAAGUCUGGAGAUGGAGAGAGAGGGGGGCAAGUCCCAACCAGUGGGUUGUAGAAUUAGGAUUUGUGGCCUGACUCUGAUCAUAAGCCCCCUGCUCUCUUCCCAGGGCCACACUGCCUUGCCUAGAAAGGAUUCUAGAUCAGGAGUGCCCCUACGUGGGGAUGCCGCCUGCCCAGCCCAAAGCAAAGGCCUUGUUCAGCCUUUGAGGUGUAUGUUCCGGCUUCACAACUCCCUGAAACGGAGGCCUGAGUGACCGGAGAUGGCAAGAAAAUGGGAGGAGGUGUCUCUAAGCAUGGCCAGGGCCCCAUGGGAGAGGGAAGUAUAGGGUAUAAAAUGCUAAUCAUAUGAUUUAGAGACACAGUGUCUUUCCAGAAGCUGGAAGAGAAAGACGUUAAGAGCUGGAGUGAGCAGUCUGGAACAGAAUCAACUCUUGGAAAAGUAUCCUUGGGAGACAGGUUGGGAGUGAAGACAGGAAGAGUGGUUUUCAGGAUUUAGGGCCCAGGGACAUAGAGGGGAAACUGAGUCAGGGCUUGGCUACAGACCCACCCUUUUGCUGGAAAUGGAUUUCUCUGCCAAAAGAGAAAUUGUUUGAACUCAUGGCCUAGAGUGAAGGCCACCAAGAAGCCAUUGUCGUUGGAAGCCAAGGGAGUCUGGGAGCUGGUCAGCUCUGGUGGAGAAAGUCUGUUUAUCCAGGGACAGGAAAGAGGCAAGGUCUACACGGGCUGGGCUGGGAGGCCCAGGGGCAGCACGAGGGAGAGGGACCCCAAGUCUGGGUUUCAAGGGGCAUCAAUGAACUAGAAAACGGAAUGAGGCUGGGUGCAGUGGCUCACGCCUGUAAUCCCAGCACUUUGGGAGGCUGAGGCAGCUGG
Molecule: long non-coding RNA, 2282 nt
Filed under: Homo sapiens (human)
Lineage: Eukaryota; Metazoa; Chordata; Mammalia; Primates; Hominidae
Description: HSALNT0406177
Source: RNAcentral